GAAGAGUUUUGGGGAGUUCAGCUGUCCUUGGUAGGAUUAGAGUCCCAGAAGAGGAAAGAUAAAAGGACCAGGGUGUCACAGGAGGAUGAGGAGCAGCGGGAGGCAGAGCUGAGCAUCAGUGCCCACAGCCCCGGUGCCAGCCCUGUCAGCCCCUCCAGCCACAUGGGGAGAAGCCAAAGGGCAGAAUUGCCAUGUCAGGAGACAUCAUGAAUUCCAUCAGCAAUUGCUCUCCUUGGGAGCUGGUCCCAGCCCUGUGCUACCCCAGCAGGAGCAGUGGGUCAGGAGCUGCUUUGGGAAUGGCAGGACUCAUGUGGCUGCACCUCAGCUGGGCUGGGACUGGAGAAAAGACCACAUGGAAUAUUGGAAGUUAAUUUAAACUGCAUAGAAAUGGGGUAAGAAAUGAGAUUUAAACCUGAUUUUCAGCAAUUCAGUCCUGAAGUUGUGGCUGUAUGUAAGGGAGCCCAUUAGCAGAUGAUCCAGGCCAAGAAAUCAAAGCAUGAUCUCUAAAAUCUGGACUUUCAUCCCAAAUAUGCAGCUGGGUGUUCAUGCUCCCCAGGUGUCAGGGAGAAUUCUGAUCCACAAGGCAUCAAGAAAAUCAAGAGA
RNAcentral lists this long non-coding RNA (603 nucleotides) under Taeniopygia guttata (zebra finch). RNAcentral's name for it is "lncRNA (ENSTGUG00000024090.1)". Lineage: Eukaryota; Metazoa; Chordata; Aves; Passeriformes; Estrildidae. The record is from RNAcentral.